Molecule: ribosomal RNA, 371 nt
Filed under: uncultured organism
Description: bacterial SSU rRNA
Rfam family: Bacterial small subunit ribosomal RNA
Source: RNAcentral
CAGAGGGUGCAAGCGUUAAUCGGAAUCACUGGGCUUAAAGCGUUCGUAGGCGGGCUUGCAGGCGCGUUGUGAAAGCCCCCGGCUCAACCGGGGAACUGCUUCGCGAACCGCAAGUCUUGAGUCAAGUAGGGGCGGUCGGAACGAUAGGUGGAGCGGUGAAAUGCGUAGAUAUCUAUCGGAACGCCAAAGGUGAAGACAGGCCGCUGGGCUUGUACUGACGCUGAGGAACGAAAGCGUGGGGAGCAAACGGGAUUAGAUACCCCGGUAGUCCACGCCGUAAACGAUGCGCACUAGGUCGGGGAGGCUUGACGCCCUCCUGGCCGAAGCAAAAGUGUUUAGUGCGCCGCCUGGGGAGUACGGUCGCAAGGCUA